Long non-coding RNA from Gallus gallus (chicken), 1612 nucleotides. RefSeq lists it as uncharacterized. NCBI's taxonomy places the organism in Eukaryota, Metazoa, Chordata, Aves, Galliformes, Phasianidae. The transcript has 2 exons. The record is from RefSeq and is a predicted model, not a curated record.
GAGAAAACCGGGCACGGCCGUAGUCUGCUCAUCUGGAAGGAAUGGGAACAGAAGCCGACUUUUAACUAUUAGUUUACACAGCAGCACUGUGAGCAGCCUCCUGCGUGUCGAGCCGUGCUGGGAGCCGCUCCUGAGCACUAAUUGGGGUUUGUUAGCCCUUCUGUUUGCAUGAUCUCACUCAAGUGGAGACCAGGAGGCGGCCUCGCGGGACUGCUCGGCUCUUUGAUUCCAUCUGCAAGUCAGCAAGAUGUUGCAGGCAGCUCCACGCGUUUCCUGGCCCUUCCUUCCUCCCAGCGCAGUGAAGCUGGGUUCCGAAGCCAGCAGUUCUGCUGCAGUGCAGUGCGAUCUGCCGGACAACGGGAGCGCAGCCGUGCAGGAAGGGCAGUGCAGGGCCACGUCCCCAUGGGCCGGGGGCACUGCUGCUGUGUGGUCACAGGGAGGCUUGUUUUGCUGCUUAUUUGCAACACGUUCGACUGUAUACUUGCCAGAAUUGUGAAACUCUUGUAAAACCCCUUCAGGAACCCACCCGCGGCAGAAUGAGGGCAGAACAGCCAACAGGGAGCUCAGCAGCCAGACUGGAGGAGGAAGGAGGUCUUGUGAGGUGAAUCCCUGUGUGAUGGGGAAGGGUCCCAAUGCUGCGCAGUGCAGCUGUGCUGCUCCUCCUGCAUCCUCAGCAGUGCCUGCAGGAGGAGGAAGAGGAGGAAGAGGAGGAGGAGGAGGAGGAGGAAGAGGAGGAGGAGGGUGGCUGAGGCCGGUGUGGAGAACAGCCCUGCCCUGCAGUAUGGAUGUGCUCCGGGAACCAAAGCCUCAUUUCCUCUCCACGAAGCUUGGAUUCCUCUUUAUGAAGUCCUUGGGUUUCAAGUGAAAGAUUUUAAUUGGAAGUUGUAUCACGUUACUUUGCAAAGCCAUUAUUGCUUUUUUUUUUUUUUCAAUUGCAAAUAUUCUUCCUAUAGCCCCUGGAAAAUACAAUAUUCCUGUGAACGUUUUGAAAAGCAUCUCAAAGCAAAUUUUGAUUAAGGCUCUGAGGACUGAAGCGUGAGGAGAGCGCUGGUACGGGCGGGCUCCCCAGACCCAUUUGUUCUUAUGAAAAACACGAACGUGCUCAUUUCCACCCAUUGCCCUCUGGGGCACAGACGUCUCCUCGGGGAAGGGCACUGCCUGGUGCUGACAGACAGACAGGGACUGAAUCCCCUCCUCGUGGUGCCCCAUCUCACAGCUCGUGAUGCUUCUGGCAGCCCCAGUCCCACGGCAGUCCCCUCCAGGAUGGAAGCCCAGCAGUUCUGGAGCCUCAGCCCGAAUGCAGCGCCGUGUUCCUGCAGCUGCUGCUUGCCUGGCUCUGCUCCCCAUUCAGUUCUCGAGGUUGCAGUGGCAUUGAUUGAAUGGGAGAUUCAUGGUGGGAAAUUAAGCCUCCAGAAGAUACAAUAAUUUAAAUAAUUGGCAUUUUUUUUGUGUGUGUGAGAACAUGAGAAAUACAGAGUGUUCAUUCACCGUAAAUUCCUCCAGGACCAGGGUAGCAGAAGCAGAUGAAUUCUUAUGAAACAAAGAUUCUAUUUUCAUGCAAAUAUCUCUCAGUAAUAAAAUACCAAGGGAAUAAAAAUGACAGGAAAAUGUA